UUGAUUCACUGCCAUACAGUUAUUUUUCAUUUUUAUUGCUGAAAUUGUUGAGGUGCUUCAUCGCCUGAAAGCUGAGAAGGUAUUCCUCAGAGAGCCAGGAGCUGACUGGGGUAAACAGUGCUGCGCUGAUGAACGGGCCUCGCCCCAUUACUUCCUGUCAAGUUUCUCAGAUGUCUGUGUACCACUUAGACCAAAGGGAGAGACAGGUUCAGAGAGUAUUGGAGGGCAAUGUUUUUCCCAAACUGGUGAUGUUUUCAUGGUGAGUAUUAAUUUGGUAUGUCUGCUCUGUCCUUGUGGAUUGUAGU
Molecule: long non-coding RNA, 305 nt
Filed under: Ictidomys tridecemlineatus (thirteen-lined ground squirrel)
Lineage: Eukaryota; Metazoa; Chordata; Mammalia; Rodentia; Sciuridae
Description: lncRNA (ENSSTOG00000030482.1)
Source: RNAcentral